Molecule: long non-coding RNA, 358 nt
Organism: Cryptomeria japonica (Japanese cedar)
Lineage: Eukaryota; Viridiplantae; Streptophyta; Pinopsida; Cupressales; Cupressaceae
Exons: 3
Source: RefSeq, a predicted model, not a curated record
UGGUGUUUGCCCAUGAGCCACAGACAUAGGUGUGUUGAUUUGAAUUCAUAGCAUUUUAUUUAUUAGUCACUUUAAAUUUGUAAUUACAUAAAUGAAUUUUCAUUUAUACAUCGAUUUAAAUUGAGACAAAUAAUAUGCAUUUCAGGAUGCAGCAGCGAUAUCCCAUACUCCUCCCCCAGUUACUAUAGCUGCAACUUCGAUGCCUGAGGUGUUGACAGGGGACGAAAUGUCCCAGAUUGAUGACAUCACGCUCUCAGCGAUCGAUUUUGGCCUACAAGGCUAUACGGGUACCCCCUCCGCAUCUAGGGCUCGUCCUAAGAAAAAGAAUUCCUCGAAGACGCCAAAACAUGGGAAGAAG